CCUACGGGUGGCAGCAGUGAGGAAUAUUGGUCAAUGGGCUUACGCCUGAACCAGCCAAGUCGCGUGAGGGAAGACUGCCCUAUGGGUUGUAAACCUCUUUUGUCAGGGAGCAACGCCGGCUACGUGUAGCCGGACUGAGAGUACCUGAAGAAAAAGCACCGGCUAACUCCGUACCAGCAGCCGCGGUAAUACGGAGGGUGCGAGCGUUAAUCGGAAUUACUGGGCGUAAAGCGCUCGUAGGCGGUAUGUCAAGUCAAGGGUGAAAUCCCCGCGCUCAACGUGGGAACUGCCUUUGAAACUGGCAAACUGGAGUGUGUGAGAGGAUAGUGGAAUUCCAGGUGUAGGAGUGAAAUCCGUAGAUAUCUGGAGGAACAUCAGUGGCGAAGGCGGUCUGCUGGACAGCAACUGACGCUGAGGCGCGAAAGCGUGGGGAGCAAACAGGAUUAGAUACCCCUGUAGUC
This 461-nucleotide ribosomal RNA is filed under the name uncultured bacterium. RNAcentral describes it as "partial 16S ribosomal RNA". It matches the Rfam family "Bacterial small subunit ribosomal RNA", at positions 338 to 795 of the family's 1533-position model. The record is from RNAcentral.